CCGGCGCACGGGUGAGUAACACGUAUCCAACCUGCCGUCUACUCUUGGCCAGCCUUCUGAAAGGAAGAUUAAUCCAGGAUGGCAUCAUGAGUUCACAUGUCCGCAUGAUUAAAGGUAUUUUCCGGUAGACGAUGGGGAUGCGUUCCAUUAGAUAGUAGGCGGGGUAACGGCCCACCAAACCUUCGAUGGAUAGGGGUUCUGAGAGGAAGGUCCCCCACAUUGGAACUGAGACACGGUCCAA
Molecule: ribosomal RNA, 241 nt
Filed under: uncultured bacterium
Lineage: Bacteria
Description: partial 16S ribosomal RNA
Rfam family: Bacterial small subunit ribosomal RNA
Source: RNAcentral